Molecule: long non-coding RNA, 713 nt
Organism: Vespula pensylvanica (western yellowjacket)
Lineage: Eukaryota; Metazoa; Arthropoda; Insecta; Hymenoptera; Vespidae
Exons: 5
Source: RefSeq, a predicted model, not a curated record
AGAGAGAAGGAAACAUAGCGCUCUAAGAAUAAGGGCGACCCAAUUUUCGAACAGAAAGUUGCAAUCGGAAAAAUGUAAGAAAAAGUUUGAAAAGAAAAAGCUUGCGGCAUAUGCCAAAACGAGAGGGAAGAUAUAAAGGAUCGUUUGCAUUUUGUUGAAAAUUAUCUAGAGAUAAAAGGGAAAGGGGGAAGAUAGUCAAAGGGUAAAAACUCUCUUUGGCAAAUUCGCCUCGUUUUCGGAUAAUUAUGUAUGCAUGAGGUGGAGAAGAUCGAGAUUAAAUUAACGAAGGGAGAGAUCCGAACUGCGGAUACGAUCAUUUUCUCUCUUAUAAUUUCUUCGGAUACAGUUUGCGAAGUCUGUUCUUUCUCGAGAGAUAUUACGUCGAGCGUAUACAGAAGAUAAAUAACAAUGGAGGAAGAGUACAAAACGCAUCGGGGAGGAGAACAGGAUAACAAUGAAAACGGUAAAAAGAGAAAUAUUCCUACGAGCUCGGAAAUGGAAGCAACGCAUUUGCGAACGGAUUCUCCUGCACGAUCCGAAACUCACGAGAACGAGGAUAACGAGGAAUACGAAACCGCUAUUUUCACUCUGGCCACCUUCGCGGCAGUUUUUGUUCUCUAUAUAUAUAUCGUCUAUAGCCUUAGUAGUCCGCCAUUAAUAUUACGCCAAUGUUCUUAUUCUUUCGAUCGCCUAGAAUAAAUCAUUUUCAACGA